This 374-nucleotide ribosomal RNA is filed under the name uncultured prokaryote. Its description in RNAcentral is "bacterial SSU rRNA". It matches the Rfam family "Bacterial small subunit ribosomal RNA", at positions 524 to 896 of the family's 1533-position model. The record is from RNAcentral.
UACGUAGGGGGCAAGCGUUGUCCGGAAUGAUUGGGCGUAAAGGGCGCGUAGGCGGCCUGGUAAGUCUGGAGUGAAAGUCCUGCUUUUAAGGUAGGAAUUGCUUUGGAUACUGCUGGGCUUGAGUGCAGGAGAGGUAAGUGGAAUUCCCGGUGUAGCGGUGAAAUGCGUAGAGAUCGGGAGGAACACCAGUGGCGAAGGCGACUUACUGGACUGUAACUGACGCUGAGGCGCGAAAGUGUGGGGAGCAAACAGGAUUAGAUACCCUGGUAGUCCACACUGUAAACGAUGAAUGCUAGGUGUAGGGGGUAUCGACCCCUUCUGUGCCGGAGUAAACACAAUAAGCAUUCCGCCUGGGGAGUACGGCCGCAAGGUUG